Molecule: ribosomal RNA, 623 nt
Filed under: uncultured Myxococcales bacterium
Lineage: Bacteria; Pseudomonadati; Myxococcota; Myxococcia; Myxococcales
Description: bacterial SSU rRNA
Rfam family: Bacterial small subunit ribosomal RNA
Source: RNAcentral
GCCUAACACAUGCAAGUCGCACGGAGUAGCAAUACUCAGUGGCGCACGGGUGCGUAACACGUAGAUAACCUGCCCCGAAGAGGGGGAUAACGUUCCGAAAGGAGCGCUAAUACCGCAUAACGCCGAGAUGGGUUCGCCUGUUUCGGACAAAGGCUGGGACCAGCAAUGGCCAGUCGUUUUGGGAGGGGUCUGCGGCCCAUCAGCUAGUUGGUAAGGUAAUGGCUUACCAAGGCAAAGACGGGUAGCUGGUCUGAGAGGAUGAUCAGCCACACUGGUACUGGAACACGGACCAGACUCCUACGGGAGGCAGCAGUGGGGAAUCUUGGUCAAUGGGCGCAAGCCUGAACCAGCGACGCCGCGUGAGUGAUGAAGGCUUCGGGUUGUAAAGCUCUGUGGGGAGGGACGAAAGACUGAGGUCUAAUAGGCUUCAGGUUGACGGUACCUCCUUAGCAAGCACCGGCUAACUCUGUGCCAGCAGCCGCGGUAAGACAGAGGGUGCAAACGUUGCUCGGAAUCACUGGGCGUAAAGGGCGUGUAGGCGGGAAGGAAAGUCAGAUGUGAAAUCCCCAGGCUCAACCUGGGAACUGCAUUUGAAACUCCCUUUCUUGAGUACCGGAGAGGAA